AGAGUUUGAUCCUGGCUCAGGAUGAACGCUGGCGGCGUGCCUAAUACAUGCAAGUCGAACGAAACUUCUUUAUCACCGAGUGCUUGCACUCACCGAUAAAGAGUUGAGUGGCGAACGGGUGAGUAACACGUGGGCAACCUUCCCAAAAGAGGGGGAUAACACUUGGAAACAGGUGCUAAUACCGCAUAACCAUGGUUACCGCAUGGUAACUAUGUAAAAGGUGGCUAUGCUACCGCUUUUGGAUGGCCCGCGGCGCAUUAGCUAGUUGGUGAGGUAAAGGCUUACCAAGGCAAUGAUGCGUAGCCGAACUGAGAGGUUGAUCGGCCACAUUGGGACUGAGACACGGCCCAAACUCCUACGGGAGGCAGCAGUAGGGAAUCUUCCAAAUGGGCGAAAGCCUGAUGGAGCAACGCCGCGUGGGUGAAGAAGGUCUUCGGAUCGUAAAACCCUGUUGUUAGAGAAGAAAGUGCGUGAGAGUAACUGUUCACGUUUCGACGGUAUCUAACCAGAAAGCCACGGCUAACUACGUGCCAGCAGCCGCGGUAAUACGUAGGUGGCAAGCGUUAUCCGGAUUUAUUGGGCGUAAAGGGAACGCAGGCGGUCUUUUAAGUCUGAUGUGAAAGCCUUCGGCUUAACCGGAGUAGUGCAUUGGAAACUGGGAGACUUGAGUGCAGAAGAGGAGAGUGGAACUCCAUGUGUAGCGGUGAAAUGCGUAGAUAUAUGGAAGAACACCAGUGGCGAAAGCGGCUCUCUGGUCUGUAACUGACGCUGAGGUUCGAAAGCGUGGGUAGCAAACAGGAUUAGAUACCCUGGUAGUCCACGCCGUAAACGAUGAAUGCUAAGUGUUGGAGGGUUUCCGCCCUUCAGUGCUGCAGCUAACGCAAUAAGCAUUCCGCCUGGGGAGUACGACCGCAAGGUUGAAACUCAAAGGAAUUGACGGGGGCCCGCACAAGCGGUGGAGCAUGUGGUUUAAUUCGAAGCAACGCGAAGAACCUUACCAGGUCUUGACAUCUUCUGACAAUCCUAGAGAUAGGACUUUCCCUUCGGGGACAGAAUGACAGGUGGUGCAUGGUUGUCGUCAGCUCGUGUCGUGAGAUGUUGGGUUAAGUCCCGCAACGAGCGCAACCCUUAUUGUUAGUUGCCAGCAUUAAGUUGGGCACUCUAGCAAGACUGCCGGUGACAAGCCGGAGGAAGGUGGGGAUGACGUCAAAUCAUCAUGCCCCUUAUGACCUGGGCUACACACGUGCUACAAUGGACGGUACAACGAGUCGCAAGACCGCGAGGUUUAGCAAAUCUCUUAAAGCCGUUCUCAGUUCGGAUUGUAGGCUGCAACUCGCCUACAUGAAGUCGGAAUCGCUAGUAAUCGCGGAUCAGCAUGCCGCGGUGAAUACGUUCCCGGGCCUUGCACUCACCGCCCGUCA
Molecule: ribosomal RNA, 1421 nt
Filed under: uncultured bacterium
Lineage: Bacteria
Description: 16S ribosomal RNA
Rfam family: Bacterial small subunit ribosomal RNA
Source: RNAcentral